AUGGGGUCCUUCCGAUUCGCCGCGCUCACGGCGCUCCUCCUAGCCUUCGCCCUGCUCCCGGACCCCGCGGCGGCUAGGGUUUUGCAGGGCAAGAAGCCCCGCUCCGGCGAGGGAGCGCCUGUACCUAACGUAGCUACAGGUGGAUCUGAGAAGGGUGCCGCCUCGAAAGAACUGGGACAAUCAUCAACUCCGGUGGGGAAUCCUGAGACAGGUAAACAGCACCAGAAAACACCGCCGGCGGAAACAACGCAAACACCGCCACCGCCGGAAACGACGCAAACGCCACCACCGCCGGAAACGACACAAACACCAAAGGAUUCUCCACCGCCACCAUCAGGUGUGCCAGAGAGUAAGGGGCAGAAAGGGGCUGAAGCAGAGGUCUCUGCACAGCCGGUGCCAGCGAAGAAUGGGCACAACGAGAGCCCCCCUCCUGGAAGCCCUAAAUCAACUGGAGGAGGUUCAGGAAACAAGAAGCCCGCAACUGAAUCAAAAGAGGUGGCUGAGGAGUGUAAGGAUCCAGUAGACACAUGUUCAAUUGAAGGAUUGUCUGCUUGCCUUCAGGUGUCUAAGACAGCUUCAAGUGGACAAUUUUUUAUAGUCCAGAAUACAGGGCAGAAUACCGUAACCGUUGACGUCAAAACAACAUCAGAUAUAAGUAUAACGGAGACGUUGCCACCUCUCAGCAAGGGUGAAUCUAGAAGGGUUAACAUAAGCUAUAGCAGUCCAAAUGGUGGAGAGGUUACGCUAAAUGUUGGGACUAAGCAUUGUGUCUUGCGCAUCGGGCAGCCAGUUUAUGAUUGGCAACAACAAUUUCAACAGCUUACAUCUUAUGCAACGACUGUGAAGCCAAUCUAUGGAGCCUAUUUAGGUGUUUUCACGCUUGUCUUGGUUGGGGCCGUCUUUGCUUGUUGCAAGUUUGCAGGGACAAAGCGCGAUGGUGGGGUCCCAUAUCAGCAGCUUGAGAUGGGAACUCAGGCUCCUGACUCAUCGGGUGCAAACAACACUACAAGCACAGGAGAUGGCUGGGAAGAUGGAUGGGAUGAUGACUGGGAUGACGAGGAAGCACCUGCAAAACCUUCAGAAAAAGGGCCUGCUGGAAGCAUCUCGGCAAAUGGCCUUUCCCUGAGAUCCCCAACCAAUCGAACCCCAACCAAUAGCAAAGACGGAUGGGAUGUAGAUUGGGAUGACUAA
This 1191-nucleotide ribosomal RNA is filed under the name Triticum aestivum (bread wheat). RNAcentral describes it as "partial small subunit ribosomal RNA". Lineage: Eukaryota; Viridiplantae; Streptophyta; Magnoliopsida; Poales; Poaceae. The record is from RNAcentral.